GACGAACGCUGGCGGCGUGCUUAACACAUGCAAGUCGAACGGAAAGGCCCUGCUUUUGUGGGGUGCUCGAGUGGCGAACGGGUGAGUAACACGUGAGUAACCUGCCCUUGACUUUGGGAUAACUUCAGGAAACUGGGGCUAAUACCGGAUAGGUGCUCCUGCUGCAUGGUGGGGGUUGGAAAGUUUCGGCGGUUGGGGAUGGACUCGCGGCUUAUCAGCUUGUUGGUGGGGUAGUGGCUUACCAAGGCUUUGACGGGUAGCCGGCCUGAGAGGGUGACCGGCCACAUUGGGACUGAGAUACGGCCCAGACUCCUACGGGAGGCAGCAGUGGGGAAUAUUGCACAAUGGGCGGAAGCCUGAUGCAGCAACGCCGCGUGCGGGAUGACGGCCUUCGGGUUGUAAACCGCUUCCGCCUGUGACGAAGCGUGAGUGACGGUAAUGGGUAAAGAAGCACCGGCUAACUACGUGCCAGCAGCCGCGGUGAUACGUAGGGUGCGAGCGUUGUCCGGAUUUAUUGGGCGUAAAGGGCUCGUAGGUGGUUGAUCGCGUCGGAAGUGUAAUCUUGGGGCUUAACCCUGAGCGUGCUUUCGAUACGGGUUGACUUGAGGAAGGUAGGGGAGAAUGGAAUUCCUGGUGGAGCGGUGGAGUGCGCAGAUAUCAGGAGGAACACCAGUGGCGAAGGCGGUUCUCUGGGCCUUUCCUGACGCUGAGGAGCGAAAGCGUGGGGAGCGAACAGGCUUAGAUACCCUGGUAGUCCACGCUGUAAACGGUGGGUACUAGGUGUGGGGUCCAUUCCACGGGUUCCGUGCCGUAGCUAACGCUUUAAGUACCCCGCCUGGGGAGUACGGCCGCAAGGCUAAAACUCAAAGGAAUUGACGGGGCCCCGCACAAGCGGCGGAGCAUGCGGAUUAAUUCGAUGCAACGCGUAGAACCUUACCUGGGUUUGACAUGGAUCGGGAGUGCUCAGAGAUGGGUGUGCCUCUUUUGGGGUCGGUUCACAGGUGGUGCAUGGCUGUCGUCAGCUCGUGUCGUGAGAUGUUGGGUUAAGUCCCGCAACGAGCGCAACCCUUGUUCACUGUUGCCAGCACGUUAUGGUGGGGACUCAGUGGAGACCGCCGGGGUCAACUCGGAGGAAGGUGGGGAUGACGUCAAGUCAUCAUGCCCCUUAUGUCCAGGGCUUCACGCAUGCUACAAUGGCUGGUACAGAGAGUGGCGAGCCUGUGAGGGUGAGCGAAUCUCGGAAAGCCGGUCUCAGUUCGGAUUGGGGUCUGCAACUCGACCUCAUGAAGUCGGAGUCGCUAGUAAUCGCAGAUCAGCAACGCUGCGGUGAAUACGUUCCCGGGGCU
RNAcentral lists this ribosomal RNA (1346 nucleotides) under uncultured bacterium. RNAcentral's name for it is "partial 16S ribosomal RNA". It matches the Rfam family "Bacterial small subunit ribosomal RNA", at positions 28 to 1381 of the family's 1533-position model. The record is from RNAcentral.